UGAGGAAUAUUGGUCAAUGGGCGAGAGCCUGAACCAGCCAAGUAGCGUGCAGGAUGACGGCCCUAUGGGUUGUAAACUGCUUUUUAUACGGGGAUAAAGUUGGGGAGUGUCCCCAUUUGUAGGUACCGUAUGAAUAAGGACCGGCUAAUUCCGUGCCAGCAGCCGCGGUAAUACGGAAGGUCCGGGCGUAUCCGAUUUAUUGGGUUUAAAGGGAGCGUAGGCCGGGAGAUUAAAGCGUGUUGUGAAAUGUAGGAGCUCAACUUCUGCACUGCAGCGCGAACUGGUUUCCUUGAGUACGUAGGAAGUUGGCGGAAUUCGUGGUGUAGCGGUGAAAUGCUUAGAUAUCACGAAGAACUCCGAUUGCGAAGGCAGCUGACUGUAUCGUAACUGACGCUGAAGCUCGAAAGUGUGGGUAUCGAACAGGAUUAGAUACC
RNAcentral lists this ribosomal RNA (434 nucleotides) under uncultured bacterium. Its description in RNAcentral is "bacterial SSU rRNA". It matches the Rfam family "Bacterial small subunit ribosomal RNA", at positions 355 to 786 of the family's 1533-position model. The record is from RNAcentral.